CGGCUUCCCAGCUUCCACCAGCCGGGCGGCGUUGUACGUCAGCAGCCGCGCCGCCUCCAGCUGGGUAGCUACGUGAGCCACCUGGUGUUGGAGCCCCUGGAACAGCCAGGCCCCACCUGAGAGAAUCAGGAUUUCUAAGACAUGUUUUAUCUCUAAGUCCAACUGGGAUGCUACACACUGACAGACUCGAGACAUACCACCAAA
Long non-coding RNA from Perognathus longimembris pacificus (Pacific pocket mouse), 204 nucleotides. RefSeq lists it as uncharacterized. NCBI's taxonomy places the organism in Eukaryota, Metazoa, Chordata, Mammalia, Rodentia, Heteromyidae. The record is from RefSeq and is a predicted model, not a curated record. The transcript is spliced from 2 exons.